AAACGGUUAUGGUUGCCAUUCGGCAUGAAAAGGGAAUACGGUGCAAAACCGUAACAGCCCCCGUUACUGUGAGAAGGACGAACGCUUUUCGCUGAGGACAAGCCCUCAUAUCACUGAGAAAUCGGGAAGAUAAAAAGCAAGUAGGAUGAAUUCAAGUCAGGAGACCUGCCAUAUCCG
This 177-nucleotide non-coding RNA is filed under the name human gut metagenome. The record is from RNAcentral.